ACGCUCGACACCUACGGGAAGCAGCAGUGGGGAAUAUUGCACAAUGGGGGAAACCCUGAUGCAGCGACGCCGCGUGAGUGAAGAAGUAUUUCGGUAUGUAAAGCUCUAUCAGCAGGGAAGAAGAUGACGGUACCUGAGUAAGAAGCCCCGGCUAACUACGUGCUAGCAGCCGCGGUAAUCUGAGCGGGCUGGCAAGGC
This 198-nucleotide ribosomal RNA is filed under the name uncultured bacterium. RNAcentral's name for it is "partial 16S ribosomal RNA". It matches the Rfam family "Bacterial small subunit ribosomal RNA", at positions 326 to 539 of the family's 1533-position model. The record is from RNAcentral.